This is a non-coding RNA of Maylandia zebra (zebra mbuna), 613 nucleotides long. Lineage: Eukaryota; Metazoa; Chordata; Actinopteri; Cichliformes; Cichlidae. The record is from RefSeq and is a predicted model, not a curated record.
CUCAACAUCCCUGGAAGUGCAGCCGGAAAUGCAGUGGUGGGACAGAGAUGGAAGUCGCUUUCAAACGACCAGAAAGCCAGAUAUUUCAAGCAGGCUGAAACAGAAAGACAGAAUCAUGCCAAAGAGCAUCCAGCCUGGUCGACCAAAGAAAACUAUCCCUUCAGUUCCAGACAGAGGAAGCCUUUGUCGCAGACAGUGAGGAAGAACUGCUGUCAGUGCUGGAAGAGCUCGACCCCCUCCCCAUCACUGCACAGUCUCAGCAGCCCUCACCCACCCCUGCCUCUCCUGUAGAUGCCUCUCAAACUGCAUCAGUUCAACCCCGAGUUGAAUUAUUUCAAGACCGAGAUGAGCCCAUCUGUUUUGCUGAAAUCCAAGAAGACAUGUGGUCAGUGCUUGACUACCUCCCCGUCUCUCAGCAGUCUAAUGUGCUCUCCUCUCCUCAUUCACACAACUACUCGACUCCUAAACAAAAUCUCAUCUGUCCUGCUGAUUCCCCUCCAUCCAAACUGGCGUCCUCCCCUGUUGCAUUCACUGAAUUGCCGUCAACAACCCCCAUCUUUUGCCAACUAAUGAAAAACAAUAAUUUCAUUAUAGACGAUUGGACCGAUUUCAA